AAAGCUUUGGUGCCAAGGUAGGGGGUUUCUUGGGGCCUUUACGGGGAUUGAUUUAAUUAAAUUUCGUGAGCACUAUAUUAUGCAUGAUAUUAUAAUUUGAUGGAUGUUCUUGAUAUAGGGUGUUUAUGUGUUGUUAAUUAUUUAAUAAAUGUUGGCAUGAUUAUAUGUAUAUUGGUGAUAUCUAAAUGAUAUACAUUGUUUUUAUGAGAUAUGCAAAAAGAAGAACUAUAUCAUGUCAUGGAAAUUAGUUGGAGUUCUUGGGUUGAAAAAAUAAUGGUGGAAAAUAGGGUAAUGGAAAUAGUAUUUUGUGUAGUUGAAUCUAACUCUUGGCAGGGACAGGUCCUAGGGAUCCCACAGUGCACAUGGUUUUUAUUGGGUGAUUCGGGAUUGGUGACAGAGACUUAGACAAGAUGACUAACAGAAGGGGAAUUAUAGGAUGAUUGAGAUGGGUGUUAGUUCAUAUAAAUGGGCAUUCAAGACCAAGUGGUUUAAGCAUGGUAUGGGACGUGCAAGUCUACUUAUCCAGUUAUAUGAAUUAACGGGAGUAGAUGAAGAGUAUUCAUGCAUUAUUAUUAUUAAUGUGAUAUUUGGCAGUGUGAUUGUGUGUUACUUAAUUUAGUUAUAUCAAUCUACUGUGGUAAGGUCUUAUGUCCCUACUGAGCGGUGGUUGCUCACCCCUCACCCUGUUUAAUUUUUCAGAUGAAUUAGUGAGAAAGACAAGGACUAAACUAGUUGAGGUUGAAUUAGAUGAGAGUGAUAGAGCUUUAUUUAUUAAUUGUAAAGUUUUAAGAUUUUAGAGCUAUUUUUAUAAGAGAAAUUUAUUUUAAACCCUUUUUUUAAUAUUACUUUUUAUUUUCUCACGCACCGGGCGCCGGAUCUCCACCUAUCCCAAGGUCCGGGGCGUGUUAGUUUCUCAAUUUUGUAAAACCAAUAACACUUCCAUUGAAUUCUUUCCUUUUUUUGUUGUUGUGAAGGAUCUCAUCACUGGGGCACAGUUUCUUCGGGGGGCGAAUAUGAAUGACAUUUACGAGUGGCCACAACACAUGGGUUCUACCCGUCGACGCCCUUGUGCCUUGGUUGGAGUUGCCGCAUCUCAUGCUACAUGGCACCAUCAACUAGGACAUCCCUCCUCCAAAAUUCUCCACCAUGUCAUUCAAUCUCAAUCUCUGUCUACUUCCUCUACAUUCUCCAAAGACUUUGUUUGUGAUUCCUGUUCUUAUAAUAAGAGCCAUAAACUACCAUUUGAUGUUUCCACUCUUAAGAGUCAUAAACCUUUAGAUUUGGUCUACUCAGAUGUUUGGGGUCCUGCCCCUAUUUCCUCUUAUGAUGGAUUUCGAUAUUAUGUUAUCUUUGUUGAUCACUUCACUAAAUAUAUCUGGCUAUAUCCUUUAAAACAAAAAUAAGAUGUUUUCUUUGUGUUUACCAAGUUCAAAUCUAUUGUUGAAAAACACUUUAAUACACCCAUUACCACGCUUUACUCUGAUGGUUGUGGGGAAUUCAUUCGCCUUCGAUCAUUCCUUGAGUCUUAUGGUAUUCAACACCUCAUAACUCCUCCACACACACCACAACACAAUGGGUCCGCUAAACUCCGUCACCGUCAUGUUGGAGAAACUGGUCUCACACUCCUCCAUAAAGCAUCAUUACCAUUAUAUUUUUAGAGCUUUGCUUUCCAAACCGCUAGUUAUCUCAUUAACCGUAUGCCCAUUCCUAUUUUACAAGUUAAAUCUCCGUUUGAGUCCUUGUUUAAAUCUCCUCCCACUUUGAAUUUUUGGGUGUCUCUGUUAUCCAUGGUUACGUCCCUAUUCUGCUCAUAAACUCGAGCCUCGAUCUCGACCUUGUGUAUAUCUUUGUUGGCUACUCCACCUCUCAGAGUGCCUAUAAAUAUUUUGACCCUUCCACCUCACGAGUCUUUAUCUCUCGUCAUGUUCAAUUUAUUGAGCAUAUUUUUCCUCCCUUGGCACUGGAUUCCUCUUCCUCUUCUCGUGUCUCUUCACUCACACCAUCCUUAGUUUCUACAUGGUCCAACUUUGCCCCUUCCCAUGCAGCCACUACUCUUCAUUUUUCUGUAUCUCCAUCCUCCCAUGGUUCCCCAACUAAUGUGCAUGGUGCUAAUACCUCCAACCAAGGUGCCACUCCCACAAGCAGAUCCUCACCUAGUGUUUCUGGCCACUCACUGGAUGUUCCUCAUUCUCCCCCACAUGCUACUACAUGUGCUCCCUCCCCUCCUAUCAGAGUGCCCUCACCGACUGUUGUCUCCUCAUCCCUACCCCCACCACCUCCUCCUCCCAAACCCCGCACACGACUCAACCCAUGACACAUGCUCCAAAAAUAACAUCUUCAAACCCAAACAAAUCCACCACACUACAACCCAUCUCCUUCCCUCCCCCAUCAAGCCCACAUGUGUGUCUCAAGCCUUUCGUGACCACAAUUGGUGUACAACAAUUUUUGAUGAAAUCAAUGCCUUUCUUUGUAAUGGGACUUGGGAGUUGGUCCCUGCUGAGCCCAAUCAAAACAUUGUGGGGUACAAAUGGGUCUUUCAAAUCAAAUGCAAUCCUGAUGGAACCCUUGCCGGCUAUAAAGCCAGCCUUGUUGCCAAACCAUUUGCCUUAUUCUAUCAAUUGCCCUUAGCCAUGGAUGGUUUGUUCGUUUUACCGAGGAAGUCUUCAUGACUCAACCUCCUGGCUUCAUUGAUCAUUCACAGCCUUCUCAUGUUUGUCGCCUUCACAAGGUCAUUUAUAGCCUCAAACAAGCACCUUGUGCUUGGUACACGGAGCUUAAACAAUUUCUUAUUUCUUUUGGCUUCCACAAUUCCAAGUCUAAUGCCUCAUUGUUUAUUUACAAUACUACUGAUGUCACCAUUUAUUUUCUUGUGUAUGUAAAGGAUCUUCUUGUGACAGGUAACUAUCCAUCAUUCAUUGCCCACUUUAUUCGUGCAUUGUCCACCAAAAUUCUUAGUCAAAGACAUGGGUGCACUUCAUUAUUUUCUUGGUGUGGAGGUACUUUCGACCAACACAAGCCUGUUUCUCACUCAACAUAAGUACAUUCACGAUCUUCUUGACCGAACCAACAUGUCUGGACCAAAAGAAACUCACACUCCCAUGGGCACGUCUCAGUCUCUCUGUCUUGCUGAUGGUUCUCCUUCAACUGAUGUCUCCUUUACAGUUAACAAAUUGGCUUAGUUCAUGCACUACCCCUCUGAAACACACUGGGCUGUCGCCAAAUGUGUCCUCCGCUAUCUCAAAAAUUGUUGAGAAUUAAGCUGCAUACUCAGCUUAAAUCAACCUGCAGAUGACAAUCCUGCAUAUUGGAAUUGAAGAGAUGAAGAAUUAGUUUUUUUUUUAAAUAGCCGUUAGUUUAAAUAUGUAACAGCUUUAUUUCUGUUUUUAGAAACCAGCACUACUGUUAUUUUUGUCCUAUUUGGUUUGUACUAGGUCAUCCGAUCUUUCUCCAAGUGGAAAGAUCGUAGCCUCCUAUGGUCUGAAUGGCUGGAGAUAAGUCCUUGCUCCCUAAAAACUAGGGUCUGUUUUUUGACUGAGAUAGGAAUAGAGUCAUGUAAUACCUCUGCGUUUUGAUAUAGAGAAAUAUACUGAAACCUUCAAAUCCUCUGUUUUUUCCUAUCCUUCUUUCUCUGAGGUGUAUUUCUCCUAAAGGUUUCAGCUGCUGUUUUCAACCUAAAGUAUUAAGCUUGAUACUAAAUCAACAUGAUAUCAAAGCUCCUGGUUUGAUUCCAGAGAGGGGCCUGAGCUGUGAGAGAGAAAGCCUUCCUGAAAAAUUCCCAAAAGGGAUAAAGGUUGCUCUUUUACUAUUUGGUUCACUGAGACUCACUAGGAAAAUGGUAUGAUCAGGUUCUUCAGGUGGAGAUUUACGAACUCCACAGUUUGAUGGUGCAAACUAUGAUUUUUGGGCUGUCAAAAUGGAGACCAUCCUCAUAGCACAUGAUCUAUGGGAUGUAGUUGAGGUCGGAGUACAACCUCAGCCAGUUCUUGAGGAGGAAGAAGGCUCUGGAGGUGAAGGAAGUAAGGCUGAGCAAGUUCCAGUGGAAGCACCCACCAUCUCCAGAGAAGACAGAAUCAAAAACGCCAAGGCACUAAGUCUCAUUCAAGGAGCUUUAACUGAUGAGCUCUUCCCUCGCAUCAGAAAUGAAAAGACUGCAAAAGGAGCUUGGGAUACUCUGAGAAGAGAGUACAGAGGAGAUAAAAAAGUAAGAGCAGUAAAACUUCAAGCAGUUAGAGCAGAUUUUGAGUAUAUGAGAAUGACAGAUGGUGAAAGCCUAGAUAGCUAUUUGUCUAAGUUUUUUGGAACUGUGAAUAAUUUGAAAUCACUUGGUGAAGAUGUGUCUGAAACAAGAAUUGUGCAAAAACUCUUGAUGAGCCUAGGUAGAAAAUAUAAGUCCAUUGUGUCUAUCAUUGAAGAAACUCGAGAUCUUGAUGUUCUUAGAGUUGAAGAAGUUAUUACAUCUGUCAAGGUCUAUGAUAAAAGGGAAGACUUGCAUGAUGAAAGGGAUAAAUUGACAGGAACUGAGAAAGCUUUCAGUAGCCUAAAGGUUGGAAAUAACCAAGUUCAUGGCACUCAUAAGGGCUCACAAAGUAGACCAAAUCAAAAGUGGCAAGGACAAGACAAAAAGGGAUCAAAUUGGUCUCAAAAUGGAAGCUUGAACAACAAUAAUGGCUCAAGCUAGAAUAAUAGUGCUGGAGGAAAUUGGAACAAUAGCUUCAAUUCACAGAACAAGCAAGGUAGUACAGUCAAGGAAGAGUGAAACCACAGUGCCAAGUAUGUCAGAAGUAUCAUUUUGGCGUGUGCAGGCACAAAGGCAAACCUAGAUGUGGAAAAUGCAAUAGGUUUGGUCAUACUGCAAAGGACUGUGAAGGUCAUAGUCACAAACAAGUAGCCAACUAUGCAAAGGAAGAAGAAGUAACCAUGGGAACUAUGUUCUAUGCUUGUCACUCUGCAAGUUUGCAAGAUAAAAGUAUAUGGUUUGUGGACAGCGCCUGCAGCAACCACAUGACCUCUCAAGAGUCUGUGUUAAUAAACAUUGAUAGGACCGUGACUUGCAAAGUUAAAAUGGGCACUGGAGAUCUUGUACAAUCAACUGGAAAAGGCACUCUAGUGGUUGAAACUCAGCAUGGAAGAAGGUAUAUACAUGAAGUGUUUCUUGUUCCGGGCUUGGAUGAGAAUCUAUUGAGUGUAGGCCAAAUGAUGGAGCAUGGUUACUAUGUCCUAUUUGGGGGUAACAUGGCAGUCAUCUUUGAUGAUGGCAGCCUCAACAAUGUUGUAGCAAAAGUGGUCAUGGGAGGAAACCGAUGUUUCCCUCUCUCACUAGAAUCUAUGACACCUGCAGCAAGGAAGGCAUCAGUGAUUGAAGACUCUUGGAUUUGGCAUAGAAGACUUGGACAUUUGAGCUUUGUUAGCAUGAAAAAGAUGCAGCAUAUGGAAAUGGUGACUGGACUACCUGAGUUAACCGAAAUGAAGGAUGUGUGUGAAGGUUGUGUUUCAGGAAAACAUCACAGAGAGAAAUUUGAUAAAGAGGAAGCAUGGAGAGCAAGCUGUCCACUGGAAUUAGUACACACAGACUUGUGUGGACCAAUGCAAAAUGAGUCAAUUGGUGGAAAUAGGUACUUCAUCACAUUCAUUGAUGACUUUUCAAGAAUGUGCUGGGUAUACUUCCUUAGAAAUAAAUAUGACACCUUUAAUGUGUUCAAGAAAUUCAAAGCUUUUGUUGAAUUGCAAAGUGGAUUUAGUUUGAAAAGGCUAAGGAGUGAUAGAGGAGGUGAAUAUACCUCACAUGAAUUCCAAGAUUUCUGUGCAAGCAUAGGAAUGGAGAGGCAACUAACCAUUGCCUACUCUCCUCAGCAAAAUGGAGUUGCUGAGAGGAGAAAUAGAACAAUCUGUGAGAUGGCAAGAUCCAUGAUGACAAAGAAAGGAAUUCUAGUUAUUUUUUGGGCAGAAGCUGUAAGUACAGCUAUGUAUCUCUAAAACAGAUGUUUUACAACAUCUGUGUCAAGCAAAACACCAUUUGAAGCAUUCACAGGUAGAAAACCAGGAAUCAAGCAUCUGAAAGUUUUCGGUUGCAUCUGUUACAUUCAUGUUCCAUCACCCUUUAGGCAGAAAUUUGAUGACAAGGCUAGAAAGGGAGUUUUUAUGGGAUAUGGAAGCUGUGAAAAGGGUUACAGGGUGUAUGAUCUGCAAUCUAAGAAGAUUGUACUCUCAAGGAGUGUAAUUUUCAGUGAGGACAAGUCAUGGAAUUGGAAGAGUGAUCAAGAGGAAUCUGUUCCAAUACCUUUCAAUCUUGAAAGGGAUGAAAUUGAAGAUGAAAACAAUGAAAUACAACCUGAUGGAACUCAGUUUGAUGAUGGUGGAAGUUCUCAUCUAAACUCCACAGUUGGUGAUUUAGUUGAGAAUGUUAGUGGUAAUGGCAGUCCAAACUCCACACCUAGUUCCACUCCAGUCAAAUUAAAAACUUUGGAAGAUAUAUAUGCAAGGUGUCACAUAUGCAUCAUAGAACCAGAGAAUUAUCAAGAAGCAGCUGGUGAUUUAGCUUGGCAAGAAGCCAUGAAUGCAGAGUUGGAGAUGAUAGAGAAGAAUAAUACUUGGGAAUUGGUUGAGAGACCAGCUGAUAAACCUGUUAUAGGUGUGAAAUGGGUGUUUAAGACUAAGCUUAACUUGGAUGGAACUGUUCAGAAACACAAAGCUAGGCUUGUAGCAGAAGGGUAUUCACAGAAACCUGGGAUUGACUACAACGAAACCUUCGCACCAGUGGCAAGGUUAGAUACAAUUUGAACUCUUAUUGCACUUGCAGCACAAAAGGGUUGGAAACUAUUUCAGCUGGACGUCAAGUCAGCAUUCUUAAAUGGUGUGCUCGAUGAGGAAGUAUAUGUAGAACAGCCUGAAGGCUUUGAACUGGAAAAUGCAGGUCACAAGGUUUACAAGUUGAGAAAAGCCUUGUAUGGACUUAAGCAGGCUCCUAGAGCCUGGUACAGUGAGAUUGAUGCAUAUUUAUCUAUGUGCAAGUUCAAAAGAAGCAUUAGUGAAGCGACUAUGUACACUAGAUCUGAUAAUGAAGGAGGUUUGAUCAUUGUCUCAAUCUAUGUGAUGAAAUUGUUUAUACUGGAAACAAUGAGAGGAUGCUACUGAGUUUAAAAGGGAGAUGAUGCAAAGAUAUGAAAUGUCAGAUCUUGGACUCCUUCAUCACUUCUUGGGCAUGGGAAUACUACAAACUGAUCAAGGGGUUUUCAUUCAUCAAAGCAAGUAUGCCAAAUCCUUGCUUGUGAAGUUUGGGCUUGAAGACUGCAAACUUGUCUCAAUUCCUUUGCCUACUGGUGAGAAACUAAAAAAGGUGGAUGGGAGUGAGUUAGCUGAUGAAGGGCUCUACAGGAAAAUAAUAGGAAGCCUACUAUAUUUAACUGCAACUAGACCUAAUCUAAUGUAUGCUGCUAGCCUGUUAUCAAGGUUUAUGAAUAGUCCUACAAAAAGGCAUAUGGGAGUUGCAAGAAGGGUUCUAAGAUAUGUGCAAGGGACUCUUAGCUAUGGCAUUGAAUACGUGAGAAAUCAGUCAGCAACCCUUGUUGGAUUCUGUGAUGCAGACUGGGCAGGCAGUGAGGAUGAUAGCAGGAGCACUUCUGGCUAUGCAUUUAGUUUUGGAAGUGGAGCAUUCUCUUGGGCUUCUGUGAAACAAAAUACAGUGGCACUAUCAACAGCUGAAGCUGAGUAUGUCUCAGCAGCUGAGGCAACAGUACAGGCCAUUUGGUUAAGAUUUGUUCUUGAUGAUUUUGGUGAAAUGCAAUCUGAGGCAACACCCUUGUUCUGUGACAAUAUGUCAGCAAUUUCGAUGGCCAAGAAUCCAGUUUUUCAUCAAAGAACUAGACACAUAAACAGAAGGUAUCAUUUUAUAAGAGAAGCUUUGCAAGAAGGUGUGAUCAACAUGCAAUUCUACAGAAGUGAAGAACAGCUCGCAUAUAUUUUUACUAAAGCACUGCCCAAAGACAGAUUCAAGCAUCUAAGGUUGAAACUUGGAGUUAAGCCAGUAAGCAGCUUAGGAGAGGCUGUUGAGAAUUAAGCUGCAUACUCAGCUUAAAUCAACCUGCAGAUGACAAUCCUGCAUAUUGGAAUUGAAGAGAUGAAGAAUUAGUUUUUUUUUUAAAUAGCCGUUAGUUUAAAUAUGUAACAGCUUUAUUUCUGUUUUUAGAAACCAGCACAGCUGUUAUUUUUGUCCUAUUUGGUUUGUACUGGGUCAUCCGAUCUUUCUCCAAGUGGAAAGAUCGUAGCCUCCUAUGGUCUGAAUGGCUGGAGAUGAGUCCUUGCUCCCUAAAAACUAGGGUCUGUUUUUUGACUGAGAUAAGAAUAUAGUCAUGUAAUACCUCUGCGUUUUGAUAUAGAGAAAUAUACUGAAACCUUCAAAUCCUCUGUUUUUUCCUAUCCUUCUUUCUCUGAGGUGUAUUUCUCCUAAAGGUUUCAGCUGCUGUUUUCAACCUAAAGUAUUAAGCUUGAUACUAAAUCAACAAAAAUACCCUACAUCAUGGCCUUCUUCUUCGCCGCAAUCAACCACUAAAUCUUCAUGCCUUCUCUGAUUCUGAUUAGGCAGGCAAUCGAGAUUAUCGCACUUCCACCACUGCUUACAUUGUCUAUCUUGGCAGCAAUGUCAUCUCUUGGUGUUCCUGAAAACAAAAGACGAUUGCUCGCUCCUCCACUGAGGCUGAGUAUCGAGCCAUUGCCUCUACAACUGCUGAACUCACCUGGAUAUCCUCUCUGCUCACUGAACUUGGCAUCACCACUUCUCAGCCUAACUUUAUAUUGUGACAACAUGGGUGCCACAUAUCUUUGUGCCAAUCCAGUUUUUCACUCUCGUAUGAAACAUAUUGCACUCGAUUACCAUUUCGUUCCCGAAAAAGUUACAAAUGGCGCUCUUCGUGUUUCUCAUAUCUCCACCCAUGACCAACUGGUUGACCUUCUCACCAAAUCGGUAAGUUGAUCCUGGUUUUGCCUUCUUCGAUCCAAGACUGGUAUCUCCUAUGGGAGUACCAUCUUGUGGGGGCAUAUAAGAUCCAAUCAAGCCAUUCAACCACAAGCAGAUCCUAGCAAUCAAGCAAUACCAGAUUGACAUAUGGUUGACUUCCAGUGAUUUAGGAUCUUGAUUUUACACUGUUGUAAUUGCUUCUAUUUUGCCUAGUGUUUAGGAAUUCAUUCAUUUUAUUCUGUAAAAGGUUCUCCUCACUACUACAAAAAAGCAAAAAGACGACGGUAAAUCACCGUCGUGUAUUCGGUUUUUCAAUGGUCGUGGAAUCCACCGUCAUCUUUUCCCUCAUAAACCACGACGCUAAAUCACCGUCGUUGUUAAAAUAUACAACGUCAUCAACAAAUACAAAACGACGUCUUUGUACUGCAAAAAGAUCUAAAAAAGCAGUCGAGGAUGAGAAUAGACGACCAACUCUCUAAAAAAACCGUCGUUAAAAAGGAAAAAUAUGACACAUAUUAACAGAACAAGGCCGCAAGAUAGACAUACAACGACGAAAAUUAAAAUAAGACGCCGUUAAAUAUCAUUUUCACGACAAUAAAAAAUAUGACGUCUUUAAAUACAUUAGAAGACGAUGUUAUUGAUACCUACUACGUCGCCUAUAUAAAAACAGCCGUCGUAAAAUAAAUUUUCCACUUCGAUUUUUCUAUAAAAGAUGACGUGGAAAUAGUUGUCAGUGUCAUUAUUUACGACGUAUGUAUUUAUAGAGUAGACGUUGAACAACGAAACAACGUCGGUUACAAAUAUAUGAGAGUCGUAUUACAAAAUUUAUACGUCCUAUUUUCAGAAACAAACAACGACGAUAAAUAUUAGACGUUGUUAAAUAAAACAACGUCAAAAACAAAUAAAAACAGACGUGUUUAGUCUGCUAAAGUUCUAAAAAAUAGUCGAGGAUGAGAAUAGACGACCAACUCAAACAAAUCACCAUCGUUAAAAAGGAAAAAUAUGACACAUAUUAAAAGAACAAGGCCGCAAGAUAGACAUACAACGACGACAACUAAAACACUACGCCGUUAAAUAUAAUUUUCACGACAAGAAAAAAUAUGACGUCUUUAAAUACUUGAGAAGACGACGUUAUUGAAAUCUACUACGUCUCUUAUUUACAAACAACCGUCGUGAAAUAAAUUUUCCACUUCAAUUUUUCUAAAAAAGAUGACGUGGAAAUAGUUGUCAGUGUCAUUAUUUACGACGUAUGUAUUUAUAUAGUUGACGUUGAAAUGCGAAACAACGUCGGUGGCAUUUAUAUAGUCGACGUUGUAUUUAUAUGUAUUCAUUACUCACGACGCACUUAUUAAUAUAGACGACGUUGAACUUCUAAACAACGUCGGUUCCAAAUAAAUGAGAGCCGUAUUACAGAACAUAUAGACGGCGUUGAUUAUGAUGAGAGCCGUAUUACAAAUAACGUCGUUUAAUUGAUAUUAGACGGCGGUUAUAAUGAAUUACCGUCAGAAUUCAUUUCGUUCCUCUUCGUUUAUAAAAGAACUUGCGACGUGGAAAAUGUAUGAUGACGUCGUAUUUUUUAACGUUCAGAUUAUAUAUCUCGUUUUUUAGACGUCGGUAUUAUGGGAUUGGAGUCGUGUUAUUUUGAAUUACAUGGCGGUUCUUAAUCCUUCCCCGACGUGAUAUCCUGAAUAAUUGCUUCACAAUAGCGUCGUGGUUCUUCAUUGUUACGUUGCUUUAAGACGUCGGUAAAUAUGCUGAAUAACUGGUUCACAAUAACGUCGUGUUUUAUUUGAACGUAGAAAGUGAAGAAAUCACAUUACAAUAUAUUACAAAAUUAAUGUCAUACACUGCCAAUUACAUAAGCAUCAUUCAAUCCAUAUAUCUUCACACCCAUCUCGAAUAUUUUGACCACCUAACUCACCCACCAGUUCAUCAAAUGUGUCAACAUUUGGCAUCCCUCUAGUAAAUGGCUCACACUCAAUUAUCACAUCACCUAAGACUUCAUCACCAAUAACAUCAUUAUAUUCUCUAUUAGGCAUUGAUAACACUACCGACCAACCACGAUGCAUCGGGUCGUCAACAAAAAAUAUUUGUUUGACUUGAGAAGCCAAAACAAAUUGGUCAUUCCUAUGUCCAAUUUUACUCAAAUCUACAAGGGUAAAUCCAAGUUCGUCGACUACAAGACCAGAACUAUCUAUCCAAUCACACCUAAAGACUGGGAUUGUAAACUUUUGGUAGUCAAGGUCCCAAAUUUCUUGAAUGACACCAUAGAAACCCAUAUUUGAGAGAAUUGGGUUUUUAUCCUUGGCACUAGCAACUUGCAUGGUAUGUGCAAGUAAAUAAACUCCACUAUUUUGAGUUGUCUGCACAUCAUCUUGUUCCUUGAUAUUGAAUUUAAUACCUUUAAUAAGAUAGCUCCUAUAUAAUGGCACUGCCAUGUUUGGACCAGCUGCUAGCCAUCUUAAAUUUUCUGAUACGCCAUGAUUGUCUUCCUCAAGUUCACUUUGAACCUGCAAAUUAAUCAUAUCUUAAUUCAAUCUAACAUAGAAAUAAGAAGAAAAUUAAAGAGAAAUAUGUUAUUCAACAACAUAUACCUUGAAGCGUAGCCAUUGAAUGAAAGUGCUAUUGUGCUUAUCCUGCAGCCNNNNNNNNNNNNNNNNNNNNNNNNNNNNNNNNNNNNNNNNNNNNNNNNNNNNNNNNNNNNNNNNNNNNNNNNNNNNNNNNNNNNNNNNNNNNNNNNNNNNNNNNNNNNNNNNNNNNNNAUUUAAAAUGGAAACCUCAAGCCCCUUAGUCUCCAAUGUACUCGAUAUAAGGUAGGACUUCCUCCGUAUUCUCCAAGACAUAUAGAUGUGCUUGAUUCAACAAGUCCUGAUCAACUACGCUCACUGUGCAACCUGAUAAUGGCUUUGAAACUCCCAUCUUUUGGCUUGAAGGCACUCCAACUGUACUAACAUCAGAUAAAUGCUGAGUACAAAACUCUACCGCUUCUUCAGCUAUAUACCGCUCAGCAAUGCAACCUUCGGGACGAGUACGAUUCUGAACAUACCCCUUCAGCACUUUCAUAUAUCUUUCAAACGGAUACAUCCACCUAAAAUAUACUGGCCCACAUAGACGAACUUCUCUGACAAGAUGUACUACUAGAUGAACCAUGAUAUCAAAGAAUGAAGGGGGAAAGUACUUCUCAAGCAAACACAGAGUAACUACUACAUCUUCUUCCAACUUAUCUAGCUUGGAAACAUCAACAGUCUUUGCACAUAUAGCAUUGAAAAAGAAGCACAAACGAGUUAUUGCAUACCUUGCAGGCUUCUCCAAAACAGAACGAAUUGCCACAGGGAGCAAUUGUUGCAUUAAGGUAUGACAAUCAUGUGAUUUAAGGCCAAGAAGUCUUGAAUCUUUUAAAGAUACAAGAUUUUUAAUAUUUGAAGAAUAACCUUCAGGGACCUUCAUACCAUAGAAAGAAUUGCAAACCUCUCUCUUCUCUGCUCUUGACAAAUUCCAAGGCCCAGGAGGCAAACGAGUACGUCUUUCUCCAUACUCGGGUUGCAAAUCAGUUUUGACCCCCAUGUUCAAUAAAUCUAAUCGAGCAGCAAUCCCAUCUUUAUUUUUUCCAGGGAUCUCCAGCAAUGUACCAAUGAUACUAUCGCAAACAUUCUUCUCAAUGUGCAUAACAUCUAGGGCAUGCCUCACAGGAAGGUAUUUCCAAUACUCGAGAUCAAAGAAUAUUGAUUUCUUCUUCCAACAAACUCUGUCACCAUUUUCAACCAUAUGCAGCACUUCUUCUCCGGUUAAUGGCUCGGGAGGUAUGCUAUAUUCAGGUUUCCCAUUAAAAGCUGCACGUUGCCUCCUAUAUGGAUGAUUGAUUGGUAACCAUUUUCUAUGCCCAAUGUAACAAAUUUUGUGGCCAUUUUUCAACCUGUGACUAGGUGUAUCAUCGCCACAUAUUGGACAAGCUUUAUAUCCUUUAACAACACAACCAGAUAAGUUUCCAUAGGCGGGAAAAUCAUUAAUUGUCCACAUUAAUGCAGCUCUGAGUGUAAAGUAUUCUCCAUUAUGUGCAUCAUACACUCCUCUAAUCUCAUCCCACAAAGAUUUUAAAUCAUCAAUCAAAGGCUCCAAGUAGACGUCUAUAUCAUUUCCGGGUUGUUUAGGACCGGAAAUCAAUAAGGUUAACAUCAUGAACUUUCGUUUCAUGCACAGCCAUGGAGGGAGAUUAUAUGUAACUAAGAUAACCGGCCAACAACUAUAUCUGCUACUUAGAGAACUGUGGGGAUUGAAUCCAUCAGAUGAAAGAGCCAAUCUCAAGUUUCUCGGCUCAUUACCAAACUCAGGCCAUUUAUCAUCAAGAAGUUUCCAAGACGGGGAAUCCGCCGGAUGAGACAUUUGACCGUCAAUUGAUUUUCUAGCAGCACGCCAAGUCAAACUCUUAGCUGUCUCAUGUGAUUGAAACAUCCUUUUAAACCUUGGAAUUGGAGGAAAAUACCACACCACCUUCGCUGGCACACCCUCUUUCAAGAUUGAAUCUUUGCCUUCCUUCCACCUUGAGAUACCACAAGUAGGACAAUUAGUUGAAUCCUCAUACUCCUUCCUAUACAAGAUGCAAUCAUUGGGGCAUGCGUGCAUUUUCUCAUAACUCAGCCCCAAUGCACACAAAGUCUUUUUAGCCUCAUACAUAGAGGUUGGUAUUGUAUUUCCUUCUGGAAGCAAAUCGCCUUGAAGUAUCAAUAAUUCUGUAAAACAGACAUCACUCAUCCCAUGUUUUGCCUUCAAAUUAUACAACUUCACUAAUGCCGAUAACUUCGUGCACUUUCUACAACCAGGGUACACUGGUUGAUCUCCAUCCCCAAUCACAUUGGCAAACUCAUACAGAUCGGAACCAAAAUCACCAAAAUCAUUAUCAUCCAUAUCAAUUUCUUCAGACACAAAACUGUACCUACUAUGGCCAUCAUCUUCUUCAACAUUUCUACUAGCAUUAGUAGUUGCUUCCCAAGGUUCUCCGUGAAAUGUCCAAUUCUUAUAGCUUUGGUCAAUUCCAUUAAAGUAUACGUGAUCCCUUAUAAUUCCAACCCCAAACAACUUCAAAUUAUCACGGUUAACACAUGGACAACGGAUAUGUGUUGUAGUUAGAAGAUUUUCUACAGCAAAGUUCAAAAAUGCUUCCACCCCAAACUCAUAUGCCUUCGAUCUUCUAUCCGAGUGCAUCCAUGACUUAUCCAUCUCCGACACUAUAACCUAUUAUCUAUAAUAAAGUGAAAAUACAGGCAAUGACCAUCACUAUAGCAGAUUAUACAAAGAUCUAAUAGCAAGUAAUACACAACAGAGACGACGGGUUUUAAACAAAAACAGACGUAUUUGGCAUAUAUAGACGACGGAUUUUCAACAGACGUCGUCUAAUAUAAGUAAUACAAACGACGGUUUAUGAAAAAACCGUCGUGUAUAAGUAAUACAACGACGGUAGUUUAAAAAAACCGUCGUGUAAUCGUCGUCGUAUGCCUAAAAAGGCGUCGUGUCUCAAUUUAUUUUCAAGAACCCAAAAUCCAUUAAGAACACAACAUAUAUAUGAAACCAAACAAGAAACCAACAUAUACAUGAAACCAAGCAUGAAAACAAUAAAUCCAUUCCCAAUUCAACAUAACAUAGGGUGAUUAAAAGAUCCGACAAAAUUAAAUCCAUUCCCAAUUCAACAUAACAGAUAAUGUAAUCCAUGAACCCAUUAAACAGAAAAUCCAUGAACCCAUACCUAUAAGCACAUUAUUAACAGAUCGCAAAGCAUAUACCUAAAACCCUUUAACAAAACAACCUAAUAUCAUUCAAUGAAUUUACAAAGGGAAGAUAGGGUUUGUACUUACAGGUUGGACGAGCUCACAGAUUCGACGGAGCCAGGAGAGUGCAACUUUUAAUUAGAGCAGAAGUGAGAGAGCGAAAUGUUAUGUUGCGCGAAAUCUAAAAAUUUUAGGGUUCAGGGUUAGAAGUAUAAGAAUAAGAGCCAAAUCUAAAAAAUUUAGGUCGCGCGAAAAUUUUUAAAGAGCGCGCUCUUUAAAACGUCGAAAGAAAAACCAUGGCGAAAGUUCUACAAGAACCGACGUAAAUGUAAUAUUCCACGACAAAAACACUGAACGUAACGCCGUUUAUUUUGACGCUUCAUUUUUCGGAUUAAUUUUAAAUUUAUUUUUAAUAUUUUGAUAUAAAGACGACUGAAAAACCACGGCGGGGUUAAGAAAUUGAAGACGUUGUAAAUUAUAAUAGACGACUUACAUAUUAAAAUGACGUCGUUUAAAGUAUAAACCAUGUCGGAUAUUUUACUGCACGACGUAACAUAUGUAUUCCACGACUCAACCACCGUCGUUAAAAAUUAAUACCCUAAACCCUUAAAACUAAAUUAUAUAAUUUUAAAAUUUAAGUUUAUAAAAGGGUUUAUGGUUUUACAGCCUAAUAUAUACCCUAGACUACCCAAAAAUUAUACUUUAAAAAUAAACCCCAAUAAAUAACAACCCUAAUCUCUAAACCCUAGACUCUAAACCCUAAACCAUAAAACUAGAAGUGAUUUUAGGACUCAUCAAAACAAUUUUAUUUUGGAUGGUCAUUUUAAAUUUUUGUUAUUCAAAAUGAAUUUUUUCAAGGUUUAGGCGGAAGAAAAUAUAUCAAUGACUUCAUAGGAGUUGACUUUGCAUUUUUCUGAUUUAUUUUAAAUUUAUUUUGAAUAUUUUGAUAUAAAAAUAAUAAAAUAUUCUUAUCACAAUAACAAACCACGUCGGGGUUAAGAAAUUGAAGACGUUGUAAAUUAUAAUAGACGACUUACAUAUUAAAAUGACGUCGUUUAAAGUAGAAACCAUGUCGGAUAUUUUACUGCACGACGUAACAUAUAUAUUCCACGACUCAACCACCGUCGUUAAAAAUUAAUACCCUAAACCCUUAAAACUAAAUUAUAUAAUUUAAAAUUUUAAGUUUAUAAAAGGGUUUAUGGUUUUACAGCCUAAUAUAUACCCUAUACUACCCAAAAAUUAUACUUUAAAAAUAAACCCCAAUAAAUAACAACCCUAAUCUCUAAACCCUAAACCAUAAAACUAGAAGUGAUUUUAUGACUCAUCAAAACAAUUUUGUUUUCGAUGGUCAUUUUAAAUUUUUAUUAUUCAAAAUGAAUUUUUUCAAGGUUUAGGGGGAAGAAAAUAUAUCAAUGACUUCAUAGGAGUUGACUUUGCAUUUUUCUGAUUUAUUUUAAAUUUAUUUUGAAUAUUUUGAUAUAAAAAUAAUAAAAUAUUCUUAUCACAACAACAAACCACGUCGGUGUUAAUAAAAUAUUCUUCUCACAAUCAGCAAGAUCCAAUGACGGCUGCACAAAAUUAAUAUAAAAACGACGUAUUAUAAUAUUUCACACGACGAAAUAAAGUAGCAAUCGACGACAUUAUAUAUUUAUCACGACGAUAAAUAACUACCGACGUGGUUAGUAAUUUCAAACGACUCAAUAAAAUAAAACACCGACGUGGUUAGUUUAUACGCUGUCAUUUAUUGAAAAUCAUAAAAACAAAAUCCUGUUAAGGAGACUAACCCUGGAUUGUAAGGCAUCAUGAAAAUCUGUUCACCAUCAGUCUUUUGAAGUCAAGCUGCUACCAAUCGUGAUCUGUCAGUUAUUGUCCCAGAGUUGGCACUAACUGUAGCAGGGUCGAUAAAGCCAACCAUGCUGCACAUAUUUGCUUGUUUCAAAAGAUCAUGUAAGUACCUAAAUAUAUAAAAUAAUAUAAACAAGUCAGCACAAAAAAAAACACACGACGGUUAUGUAUAACAAAACGACGUAUUAUAAAAUUUCACACGACGUACUGAAAUAGACAACGACGUUAUAAUAUAUUUAUCACGACGGUACACACUAACGAUGUGGUUAGUUAGUUAAGACGAUGCAAUAAAUAAAUCAACGACGUAUUAUUUUAGAAUGACAAACCUCAUAUAUACAGCAACCACAGUAGCUCCUAUUUCUUCCAUGCCUGCAAAUUGUGUAAUAUCUUCAGGCAGAACGAAGGUAUCGCGUUCUAGACCAAACACCUCCUUAUCAAUUGUAAAGUUCAGGGUCUUAUCCUGAGGCACGAGUGUCGUUUCCACAUAACGACAAAGGGAUUUUAAAGAAUAUGGCGCCUCCAUAUUUGAAUAAUCAACAACUUUAAUAACCUGUUUAAAGAAAUAAAAAAAAUGACGUGGUAAUUCAAUAAAAACGACGGUUUAAGAAAUAAAACGUCGUCUGAAAAGAAUUUAAACGACGGUGAAAAAACCGUCGUGGUGAAUAAUUUAUUACGUCUUAGAAAAAAAUUCCGCCGUCUAAGUUUACAAACGACGGUUUAAAGAAAAAUAUCGACGUCUGAAAUUUUGAAAAACAAAUAAAAAAGGCAAAGUUAUGUGAACAUACCUGGUCGUCAUGCUUUUCUUCAUCUUCUUUCUCCUUUUCAUCUUGUUUUUCUUCUUUCUUCUCUUCAUCUUUUUUUUCUUCAUUCUUCUCUUCAUCUUGAUUUCCUUCAUUUUUCUGUUUUAAGUAAUAAAGAAUGUAGAGAAAGUAAAAAAAUUAAAUUCAAAUGUCGUGGUAAGACAAAACACAAGACAGUAUGUAAGAAUUAUGGACGUCUUAAAUUAUUAAACGAUGGUAAAUAGUAAACGUCGUGGGAUUGAUAUAUUACGUCGGGAAUGACUAACACCGUCGUCUAAAAACCACAAAGUUUUAAAAAUAACGACGUUUAAUGGCAUGUAAAACAAGUAAACUAAAUACGACGUGGUAUUGAAAUACAAACGACGGUUUAUUUUUAAAAUCGUCGUGGUAUGUAUUUCAAACGACAGUUUUAUUAAUAAUAACGACGUCUAAUAGUUUUUAAAAAAACAGAGAAUUCAAAGUUCAGAUAUGUUACCUUUUCUUCCUGAUGUUUCCCAUUUUUGGCAGUAUCAUCCUCAAAAUGUAGGGAUCUCACAUCACCUCCAUAGCAACUUGCUUUGUCAGACAUUGGAUUUUUGGGACUUUGGCUAAUUCUUGGUUUAAGCAUGCUUGGAUCAAAAUUGGGAAUUAAUUGGGAAAGCUGACUCAGGAAAUGCGCUCAGCCUCUACCAAUUGUUUGGUUCUAGCCUCCAUCCUUAAAGCCUCUUCCCUUGCCUUAGCUUCCAUCUUUUUAUUCUCUUCUUGAAGGAGAACUCUCAAACUGCCCUUUAAACGGUCGUCAAAGCUCAUCCUCUGUGGUUUGGGUAAAUUGAAAUAUUGCCUUGGGGAAAUUCCAGCACCUACACCUCUCACUCUGCCUGGAUGCUCGGAGCCCAAAGCCAUGGUCAGCACAUCAUUGCUGCCAGAUACACUGACUUUGCCUUCCGAGACUUAUUUUUGCAAUUCAUCCUAAAACAAAGAUAUAUAAAAAAGUAAGAACAAAAAACACACGACGGUUAUUUAUAUACAAACGACGUAUUAUAUAAUUUCACACGACGCAAUAACAUAUAAAUCGACGUUAUUAUAAUUUAUCACGACGGUAGUUAUACCGACGUGGUUAGUUUUUUAAAACGAUGAAAUGAAUAAACCACCGACGUCUUAUGCUUUAUUUACAGAUAACAGAGGGAUGAUUCAAUAUUCACACCUUUAACGACCUUGUUUAAAACAUUUCGACGUAGUAAUUUAAUACAAACGACGCGAAAAUGAACCACCGACAUCUUAUGCUAUAAUUACAGAAAACAGAGUAGUGAUUCCUGAUUUAGACCUUUAACGACGUUUUUUAAAAAAUGUCGACGUGGUAAUAUCAUUCACACGACGCAAAAUAUAACAUAAGACGUAAUAAGAAUUAUUCACAGUUUAAUAAAAAUUUAAAACAGAGUGAGUAGGCUUACAAUUAAUUUUGCUUUCUCUGCCACCUUUGGAUCCGGGAUGUUACCAUGUUUGUCCUGUCUAGCUCUCUUCCAUAAGGUAGAUCGAUCAAUUUCUACCCCAGGCAUGGUUUCCUCGAAUUGAUCCUCCAAACCAGCAUAUCCUUUUCGAGACAAUCGAUGAUUGUACUCAAGUUUCUCCCUAAUCUGUGCAUGUUGAGAAUGCACAGACUCAAAAUCUUUGGAUAACCUUGAAGCUACAAAGGCAUCCCAUUGUGCUUUCUCUAUGAAUUUAUAUGUUUCAAGGGGUUGGCUUAAUCUCUCCCUGUCAUUGGUGUAUGGAAGGAUAUAAUGCCUCGUUAGUGUAGACUUGAAAUCCUUCCAUUUCUUGGCAGCAGAAGCUAACACAGAGUUCUUGCCCCCUUGACCUACCACAAAAGCAAUGUCAACUGCUUCCCAAAUCUGCUCCUUUAUAUCCUUGGGGAUUUGAGCCCAUUUCAUGUCCACAAGUGGAACUCUGGAGCGUGCCAACACACCAAUGUAGGACUGCAUCUCACUAUGUGCUUGGCCAAUUCCUUUCCCCCUUUUAUUGUACUCAACAAUUGGCCUGAGUUUCUGAAGUUUUCUCUUCACAACACGAGGCAUUGUGCUCAUACCUCGACCAGACUUUGAAUCAUCAGAGAUUGUUGUCGUGCUGGUUGGUUCUGUCUCAGCAGAUGAUGAAGCAAACUUCAUCUUCUUCGAAGACUUCAUCUUCUUCGAAGACUUCUCUUGAGGAGUUACCAUUCCAAGCUCCUUACCUCCAUUUUUCUUGGAGCCAGAGUCCUUACUUUGGUCUUGAGAAACCAUUUUUACAGACAAAACUACAAGUGAAAAUAUUUCAGGAAAAGAUUAAGAACAUAAACGACGGUUAUUAAUAAAAUACGACGUAUGAUAUGAUUUUAAACGACGCAAUGAAAUAAUCUCAGACGUAAUAAAUGUUUACAACCAAGGUAAUUAAACAACGACGAAAUAAUAUAAAAUAAGACGUAAUAAUAACUUAUUACGUCGAUAUUUACCGGACGACGUGAUAAUUAACUAUAAACAACGAAAUAUUUAUAUAACGUCGUGGUAUUGAUGUUCACACGACGUCAAUAGUAAUAUACCGUCGUCUAUAUAAGGAUCCAAAACCCUUCUUUCUUUCUCUGUGAAUGUUUGAUUGCAGAUUUAAUUUUUCUGAACCAUGGUUUUUGUUUUCUAAUUUGAUAAAAUACAAGGCCAAGAAAGAAAGUUUUGGAAAUACCUUCCUGUGAGGCAUGCCCUAGAUGUUAUGCACAUUGAGAAGAAUGUUUGCGAUAGUAUCAUUGGUACAUUGCUGGAGAUCCCUGGAAAAAAUAAAGAUGGGAUUGCUGCUCGAUUAGAUUUAUUGAACAUGGGGGUCAAAACUGAUUUGCAACCCGAGUAUGGAGAAAGACGUACUCGUUUGCCUCCUGGGCCUUGGAAUUUGUCAAGAGCAGAGAAGAGAGAGGUUUGCAAUUCUUUCUAUGGUAUGAAGGUCCCUGAAGGUUAUUCUUCAAAUAUUAAAAAUCUUGUAUCUGUACAAGAUUCAAGACUUCUUGGCCUUAAAUCACAUGAUUGUCAUACCUUAAUGCAACAAUUGCUCCCUGUGGCAAUUCGUUCUGUUUUGGAGAAGCCUGCAAGGUAUGCAAUAACUCGUUUGUGCUUCUUCUUCAAUGCUAUAUGUGCAAAGACUGUUGAUGUUUCCAAGCUAGAUAAGUUGGAAGAAGAUGUAGUAGUUACUCUGUGUUUGCUUGAGAAGUACUUUCCCCCUUCAUUCUUUGAUAUCAUGGUUCAUCUAGUAGUACAUCUUGUCAGAGAAGUUCGUCUAUGUGGGCCAGUAUAUUUUAGGUGGAUGUAUCCGUUUGAAAGAUAUAUGAAAGUGCUGAAGGGGUAUGUUCAGAAUCGUACUCGUCCCGAAGGUUGCAUUGCUGAGCGGUAUAUAGCUGAAGAAGCGGUAGAGUUUUGUACUCAGCAUUUAUCUGAUGUUAGUACAGUUGGAGUGCCUUCAAGCCAAAAGAUGGGAGUUUCAAAGCCAUUAUCAGGUUGCACAGUGAGCGUAGUUGAUCAGGACCUGUUGAAUCAAGCACAUCUAUAUGUCUUGGAGAAUACGGAGGAAGUCCUACCUUAUAUCGAGUACGUAUGAGUUUUAUUCUUUAAGUUUCCAUUUAAAAUUAUUUCUUAUGUUUAUCUUAUAUAUUUGGGACCGUAAUGCUUGAAUUUUUCGUGUCAUGUAGGCAACAUAUGAUCCACAUCAAGACUGCUUAUCCAAAAUUUAGAAAGAGAACAAAGUGGCUGCAGGAUAAGCACAAUAGCACUUUCAUUCAAUGGCUACGCUUCAAGGUAUAUGUUGUUGAAUAACGUAUUUCUCUUUUAAUUUUCUUCUUAUUUAUAUGUUAGGAUGAAUUAAGAUAUGAUUAAUUUGCAGGUUCAAAGUGAAGUUGAGGAAGACAAUCAUGGCGUAUCAGAAAAUUUAAGGUGGCUAGCAGCUGGUCCAAACAUGUCAGUGCCAUUAUAUAGGAGCUAUCUUAUUAAAGGUAUUAAAUUCAAUAUCAAGGCACAAGAUGAUGUGCGGACAACUCAAAAUAGUGGAGUUUAUUUACUUGCACAUACCAUGCAAGUUGCUAGUGCCAAGGAUAAAAACCCAAUUCUCUCAAAUAUGGGUUUCUAUGGUGUCAUUCAAGAAAUUUGGGACCUUGACUACCAAAAGUUUACAAUCCCAGUCUUUAGGUGUGAUUGGAUAGAUAGUUCUGGUCUUGUAGUCGACGAACUUGGAUUUACCCUUGUAGAUUUGAGUAAAAUUGGACAUAGGAAUGACCAAUUUGUUUUGGCUUCUCAAGUCAAACAAAUAUUUUUUGUUGACGACCCGAUGCUUCGUGGUUGGUCGGUAGUGUUAUCAAUGCCUAGUAGAGAAUAUAAUGAUGUUAUUGGUGAUGAAGUAUUAGGUGAUGUGAUAAUUGAGUGUGAGCCAUUUACUAGAGGGAUGCCAAAUGUUGACACAUUUGAUGAACUGGUAGGUGAGUUAGGCGGUCAAAAUAUUCGAGAUGGGUGUGAAGAUAUAUGGAUUGAAUGAUGCUUAUGUAAUUGGCAGUGUAUGACAUUAAUUUUGUAAUAUAUUGUAAUGUGAUUUCUUCACUUUCUACGUUCAAAUAAAACACGACGUUAUUGUGAAUCAGUUAUUCAGCAUAUUUACCGACGUCUUAAAGCAACGUAACAAUGAAGAACCACGACGCUAUUGUGAAGCAAUUAUUCAGGAUAUCACGUCGGUGAAGGAUAAAGAACCGCCAUGUAAUUCAAAAUAACACGACUCCAAUCCCAUAAUACCGACGUCUAAAAAACGAGAUAUGUAAUCUGAACGUUAAAAAAUACGACGUCAUCAUACAUUUUCCACGUCGCAAGUUCUUUUAUAAACGAAGAGGAACGAAAUUAAUUCCGACGGAAAUUCAUUAUAACCGCCGUCUAAUAACAAUUAAACGACGUUAUUUGUAAUACGGCUCCCAUCAUAAUCUACGCCGUCUAUAUGUUCUGUAAUACGGCUCUCAUUUAUUUGGAACCGACGUUGUUUAGACGUUCAACGUCGUCUAUAUUAUUAAGUGCGUCGUGAGUAAUGAAUACAUAUAAAUACAACGUCGACUAUAUAAAUGUAUACGUCGUAAAUAAUGACACUAACAACUAUUUCCACGUCAUCUUUUUUAGAAAAAUCGAAGUGGAAAAUUUAUUUCACGACGGUUUUUUGUAAAUAAGAGACGUUGUAGAACUUUAGCAGACUAAACACGUCUGUUUUUAUUGUUUUCCGACGUUGUUGUAUUUAACAACGUCUAAUAUUUAUGGUCGUUGUUUGUUUCUGAAAAUAGGACGUAUAAAUUUUUUAAUACGACUCUCAUAUAUUUGUAACUGACGUUGUUUAGUUUUUCAACGUCUACUAUAGAAACACAUACGUCGUAAAUAAUGACACUGACAACUAUUUCCACGUCAUCUUUUAUCGAAAAAUCGAAGUGGAAAAUUAAUUGUACGACGGUUGUGUUUAUAUGUGCGACGUAGUAGGUAUCAAUAACGUCGUCUUCUAAUGUAUUUAAAGACGUCAUAUUUUUUAUUGUCGUGAAAAUUAUAUUUAACGUCGGCGUAUUUUUAUUGUCGUCGUUGUAUGUCUAUCUUGCGGCUUUGUUCUCUUAAUAUGUGUCAUAUUUUCCCUUUUUAACGACGGUGUUUUUAGAGAAUUGGUCGUCUAUUAUCAUCCUCGAUUGCUUUUUUUAGAUCUUUUUGCAGUACAAAGACGUCGUUUUGUAUUUUUUGAUGACGUUGUAUUGUUUAACAACGACGGUUAUUUAGCGUCGUGGUUUAUGAGGGAAAAGAUGACGGUGGAUUCCACGACCAUUGAAAAACCAAAUACACGACGGUGAUUUACCGUCGUCUUUUUGCUUUUUUGUAGUAGUGAAUCUUAUAUAGACGACGGUAUUUUAAUAUGACGUCGUGGUAUUAACAUUCACACGACGUAAAACAAUAAGAUACUGUUGUCUAUAUUAGAUACCAACCCUACUUUCUUUUUCUUUAUAUUUUAUCAAAUUAGGGAAAAACAAAAAUCAUUGUUCAGAGAAAUCAAACCUGCAAUUAAACAAGCAAAUAAAAAAAAGACUAUAAUUUUAAAAACAACUUUGUCAAUUUUCAGACGACGCUAGAACGACUGACGAACCGUCGUGGUCUACAUAUUUAACCACGUAAAUAAGAAGCUACCGUCGUCUUAUUUAGUUGAGGUAGUUGUCUUCAAAGUUGGAAACUUUCCCUCUUUGUCUGUAUAUUUUAUCAAACUUGGAAAGAAGUAAAAUGAUUUUGGCCAGAAAAAAGGUAAAAAGAUUUUUCAAACAAAAAACGUAUGAGCAUGCAAAACAGCAACCAAAAUAGUGAAAAUGAAAGCUUACCUUUUGCGUGCAAUGAAAGCAAGAGGAAGACGAUGUUUAAGUUCAGAGACAACGAAGAAGACGAGAGGAAGACGAUGAGAUACUCUGACAGUGCUCUGACAAGGAAAAAAGACAAAAAGUUUUCUCUGGGAGAUUGAAAUUUUUAAUCGGGUUUGGAAACAGUGCAUGUGUAAGUCAGGUAGACGAAAAGUUGCUUACAUAUAAAACCAUUUCAAAAAAAUAAUACGGCGGUUACAUAUAACUACGACGUAUAAAUUACAAAAUACGACGGUACAUUUAACUUUGGACGUGGUAAAUAAAUACGACAGUAGUGUUGUAGGUACCGUCGUAGUAAACUCAAAAAUUAAAGUACAUAAGUAAUAACUCGCGUCAUGGUAGAUUAUUUAACACGUCGUUUUUAUUAAUGUACCGACGUGGAUUUCUGUAAUAUACGUCGGUCAUACCGACGUUGAUUUUACAAUUUAAACGGCGGUUUUUUUGUAAGAACCGCCGUUGGUUUUAAAAAUUUAUUCUAUAAAUUUGUCGCUUUCAUUCAUUUUCGGUUUACAUUUAGGGUUCCAAGUUCUUCCUCUCUCAGAGAUACUGUCUCUCACAUCUCAAAGACAAUAAUUUGGAUGUCUUUCUCAAAGAGAAAUUGAGCUUACUCGCAUCAAAUCUAUGUCCACAAGAAGAAGCUUGUCAACUAGCCUUCUCACUUCCUUGAUCAAGCCUGAUAGGACACUUAGUGCUUCUGAAUACUCCUUGCUUUCCAUCAAAAGAGAUGCAAGCCUGGCCUCCACUCGCUGUCGAAGGAAAGUUCGCUUCUCAGGGAAAUCUGAAGAUCAGAUGUGCCUGAUCCUCUGCUUGAUUUUCUUGGCUAAGAAGAUCCGUCAGAUUUGUGAUAGCCUCUUCCUUUAUCCGUAGAGCUUCAGAAGAAGAAGAUGGGUUUCAAGAAUGCGAUAAAGAAUAGAAAUGGCUUCAGAUGGCCUCUAAAGCAUGAGCAAUCGAAUCAGUAGUUGCUGGGAGAUAUGAUGAAGACAUUGUCAAUGCUUUGAACUAUACAAGUCCUGCAGAAAAAUAAAGGACCAAACUGUUAAAGAAACUGAAACAACGGUGGUUUUCUGUUCUACCGUCGUCUUUUCUCGUCGUCUAUAUUAAGGUAAGAUGGCGGUAGAUUUAUAAUUACCGACGUAGAUUAUUUUGUUAAACGUCGUUAAGUGUAAUACAACCGACGUGGAUUUUAUUUUUAAAUUAUAAAUAGAGUUUUUUUUCCCGAAUUCUUUCAGUUUUAGUUUUCAAUUACAAAGCGUGAUAAAUAGAUUUUUCUUUCCCAAGAAAAUUUAAAAUGAGGGAAAUUGAUGUUCUAGAAUUUACACGACGCAAUAUUACUAACCCGAGGAAAUUAUAAAUAGAUUUUGCUUUCCCGAAGAAAUUUUAAAUUAAUUCAGUUUGAAACAACGACCGUUUUUUGUUAUGCCGUCGUUUUUAACUAACACGACGCAAUAUUUGUUUUGCGACGUGGAAUCUUUUCAUUUAACGUCGUUAGGUUUAAUAUAACCGACGUGGAUUUGAAUUUUUAAAUUAUGAAUAGAAUUUUUUUUCCCGUGACCUUUCAGUUUAUUUUUCAAUUACAGUACGUUAUAAAUAGAGUUUUUUUUCCGGAGGAAAUUUAAAAUGAAGGAAAUUAAUGUUCUGGAAUAUGUAAAGUUUCUUUUUUGGAUGACAGAUUUAAAUAAAAUAAGAAUAUAAAAACAACGACUGUUUUUGUAUUACUGUCGUCGUUUUUCGUCGUCUUAAGUAAGACUAAGACGAUGUAAUAUAUUUGUUGAGCGACGUUGAUUUGUUUUUUAAACAUCGUUAGGUAUAAUAUAACCGUCGUUGAAAAUUGUCUCUCUGAUUGUAAAUUUGCAACGACGUUAGGUAUAAUAUUUGUAGAUACACAAACGCACACACAUCAUCAACUUCCAAAAAAUUGUCUCUCUGAUUGCAAAUCUGUGUCAUCUGUUAAGAUUAUGAUGUGGAACAGAGUUCCAUCUGGUAAGAUUUCGUAACCCUUGGGAUCUCAGAAAAAUCUGAUUAUGUCGGCGGUUUUCUAUAUAAACCGUCGUGGUUAUUUCAAUUCUUGUCAUUAAGUAGAUCUACCGACGUAGGAUAAGAAAAUCAAAGAAAAAAAUUGUUAACAAAAAUUCUUAUUAAGACGACGGUUUAAAUUAAAGGUACGACGUAUAAAAUAAAUAAAUACGACGUUAAAUUUUAUAGUACGAUUUAAAGAUAACGUCGUAGAACUAUACGAGAAUGACGUCGAUAUAUUUAUAUUUUCCGUCGUUGUACAUUAAUUUAAUACGGCGAUAUUUUGUAUUUUAAAGCCGUGGAUUUGUUUGUAAUUAUACGGCGUCUUAUACGAAAACCUCGUCGUGUUAUUUUAUGAGUAAAAACGGCGGCUUUUAUUGAAAUCGUCGUCUUUACUUUCUACGUCGGUCGAUUCAUAACUUCUGUCGUUCUUUGUUGGCUUUAAUUUUACACUGCGGAAAUCUGUUUCAAAUAGACGUCGGUUGUUUAAUUAGGUACGUCGUUGUUUUUGAACAGCCAUUUGAAUCUCCAUUUUUUAGUUGUCUAAGGUGGUAUUACACGACGGUGUUUUUAGAACCGUCGUCUUUUUAAAAACCACGACGGUUUUCACUUAGACCGUCGUUGUUUUCUAGUCAUCUUUUUCACUUUUUGUAGUAGUGCCUAGCCUCUAUAUAUAUUCCUUUAUAAAAUCAAUUGAAAAUACACACUUUGACAAUCCCUCUGUAGUCUUCUCAUGCUUCUCGUCUAUGCGACUCCAGCCCCCGCCCAAAACUCUGAUGUUCGUUUACUUAUUCUUUUUGUUUUUGUCUAACUUAUAUAGGCUUCUAUAUUGCUAGUUCCAUCAUGAAAACAAAACAAAAGAAAACCUUUUUGCUAUUAGGAAUCUUCUGGCCAACAAGAGUACGUGGAAACAAUAACAUAUAGAUUUCUCUUGAUUUCUCCCACACCCUAUUUAUCAUACAUUGAUCCCAUGCUAUAUAUAUAACUAUAAGAUUUGUUAUCUCACUUGAAGUGAUACUCCUUUUGUUGCCUCACCUUUACUUCAUUCAAUAAUUUUCAAACGCCAAUGGAAAGGGUUUUUUUUUUUUUUUGGGUUUUCUAAAUGUAUUGUUAAUCAUAUUCAGGAGCUUCUUUUUGCUUGGAAAUACAUUUCGUUUUGUCAUGGGAAGUACAAUUGAUUGCUAUGCCAUUAAGGCGACUAUAUAUAUGAUCUUUUAUUUUUAUGAUAUUUACUAACCUCUUGAAACGUGUACUUGAGUGAUAGUACUUACAGGGCUGAUCUUGACUGCAAAAUUUAAAUUGGGGUCCUCACAUGGUCUCACACGAAACAAAAUAAAAAAAAUAUAACCAUGACUUAAUGCCAUAAAACAAAAAUUGGUUAAAAUAAAAUUCAUCACCAAUUAUUGUAAAAGUAAUGAGCACAAUUUUUUUUUUCAAGAAAACAUGCCUUGUGAUAUGGUGUGGUAAUCUUGUGUAGUUGGUCAUCGGUUUGUUCAUUAAGGUCAUUUUAUGAAGGAAAAAAAAAUGUAUUUCGAAAAAAGAAGUAAAAAAGGAACCAAUGGAGCACACAAGUGACUCAAACCUAAACUUAUAAUGAAAUUCAAAGUGCAAGAACCAACUUCACUAGAGCCACAAUUGUUUAAAUAUGUUGUAUGCUGACGUGCGUGUAUAUAUAUAUAUAUAUAUAUAUAUUUCAUUUAAGAAUUUUUUAAAUAAGUUUAUUUGAGGAACAUCUUUAUAGGGCCUACUCUGUGACAGGACCCGACCCAAAUUCCGCUUUGGAAUCCGAGCCGGAUCCUGUGCGUGUCCGACACCUGGGGGACUCUGCAUUGUAUUUCACUAAUUCAAACCGUCUAUUUUGUAAAUAUUCAUUCAAAGAUCAUCUCUACAAAAAAAAAAUCAUUUGAAUUCAAUAUCAUUUGACCAUUUAAUUAAAAUAUUGAAAUUUAAGUACUUUCUUGAAGCCACCGUGUUCAUUGAUUUGUUGGUCUCAAUUAAAUGCCUUAAUGAUUUUCAAUUUGUCUGAUUUUUUUGCAAGGAUGAUCUAUGAAUGAAGACUUUAAAAAUAGACAGUUUGGAUUGAAAACAAAAUUCAUAGGGUACGCUAAAGGAUGUCCCUCAAAUAAAAUUAUUUGAGGGAUCCCUCAAUGAAAGGAGACUGUGUAUAUAUAUAUGUGAAAAAAAUUUGGGGGCCCUCCAAAACUAAGGAUCAUGUGCAAUGACACUACUUGCACUAUGUUAGGACCGCCCCCAACAAUUUACAUUAUUUUGAUGAAAGUUUCUUUAUUUUUUUUGUUCAAACAAGUUUCUUUAUUUAUGUAUUUAUUUUUUUAAAGUGAUUUAACUCAAAAACAAAAUUAAAAUAAUGGAAUAUUCACUAUUAUACCCAAUAUAAGAGCCCAAAUUAUUAUAAAAUAAAAUAAAUUUUAAAAAACUUAUAUGAAAUGGACUUUAGAAACACACUCAAAGCCUAUUUAUAACAUAACAAAAAGGCUUUUAACUUCUUUUAAAUUACAAAACUGCCAUUGAUUUCUUAAAACAAACUCAAUCCCAAAACCUUAUAUAAAAAAAACCCAAAACACUCAAUAUCUAUAUUAGUAGACCUAUAUUUGGGUUUUUUUUUUUUUGGGUUUGUUUAUAGAAAUUAAAUUAUAUAGAGUUUAUCUAUAUUAUUAGUGCUAAGAAUAAAUAUAUGACUAAUAUCUCUUAAAACAAGUUAAAUCCUAACCCACUUUCACACCUGCAUUCAUCAUUUGCACUAACCUAAAAAGACUAACCCGAAGGGCUUUGGGGGAAGUUUAUUCGAAUUCUCUGACCCCAAAGAAAAAGCAAAGUACUAGUAACUUACCCAAAAAUACAGUCACUUACCCAAAAAUAAUCCUAUACGCAUAAAUUCGCAUUGGCUAAGUAACAAAAUACAGUAACUUACCCAAAAAUAAUCCACCUAUCUAGUAAUAUUUUAUGUUGAGAUCAUUAAUAGGCAAAUUUAAUACAAAAACGUUACGUCGUCUUAAAAAAGUAAAUAAAAAAAUGAAAACCUUCCAAUACACAUAAUACUAUCUUACCCCAACAUAAUUACCGUAUUAAUUUUUAGUUUGCAUGCUUCGACACAAAGUAAAUUGCCCAUGACUUUCCUUUUUAAGUCCAUUCUUAACUUUUCCUCUUGUUGACCACUCUCGCACACUAUAUAUAGGCCGACCCUCUCAAGGGGGCUCUUCAAAUUUUUUUCAUGUGUAUAUAUUGAAUAUAGCGAGCGGUGUUGCACGGCCUUGACUCACAAAAGAAAAUUCCUCCUGAGUCAAAAGUUAAACACAAGGUACGAUCGCUUUUAUUUAUUUUUGUAUAAUUUAAACUACGAGAAAGAAGAUUCAAAUUUAGGGCAGAGUGGAGAGCAUAUCUUGCUCUAGUCAGCUUGACUAAAUCCAUAUCUAUGAUACAACCACUUAAUUAAUUUUGAUUACAACUUGACUAUGCCUUAUGCUAUAUACAUCUACUUAUAAUGUUUCUUUCUGUUAAGUAUAUCUAAAGGUAAAGUACAAAUUUUAUGGAUGGAUAAUUCUUUUUUUUUUCUUUUCUAAUAGUAUAUUUCAUGUCAGAUGUUGAAGCUAGGAAAUUACCAACAAGGCAUAAUGGAGGGUCAUCCUCCUGUUGGCAGUAAGAACAAGGGCAAGGAAAUCAAGAUCGAGAGGGUCAUAGAGAAGCAGCAGCAAACUAGAAGAAAAAUCAAGGUCAGCAGGAGGAGGAAGCAGUACAAAAUUAAGAUGGCCAAUGAUGAUGAGGCGGGCCCAUCUAGUCGUUAUAAUCCAACAUUAGGGUUUAAGCAACUUUUGCCAGAUCACCAAGAAAUUGAUGAGGUUGUUAUUGGAAAAGAAGUUUAUGAACUUUAUUCUCAUCUCCUAGGUCCAUGCAUGGAUGACAAGUCAUCACUUACCAGUUCUUCGGAAGAUUAUCUCAGAUUGAAGACUCCAUGAAUAGGUUUAAGCUUUAUUUUAAAUGUGUUAGGUCAAAUUAUGGUAUUAUAUUUUAGCCCCAAGCAUGUAAACGGUUUCUCAUCAUCAUAUGUACUGGUUUUUUCUUUUAUGAAACCUCAUCAACACUUUGUUCCAAUAACUAUUUCUUUCUUUAUUUGAGCAUAACUUGAUUGACUCAAUUUUUGUUUUUAUUUCUAUGGUGUAAUUAUAAAUUUUUUUUGCCAAUUUUGAAAGAAGUUUCAAGUUUGAAUGACCCCAAUGAUAAAUAAAAGACUUUUUCUUUCAAGCUAGAUUAUACGUAAAUCAAACUUUUGGCUUUUUUUACCAUCUGCUAAUUGCUUUGUUAAAUGCAUCUGCCAAACGAUAGAUAUCAUCAGUGGCGGACAUGUGUAGGCGCAAGGAGGUGCACCUGCACUUCCGGUCACCGGAAAACUCCAUAGAAGCUGCUAAAGUUGCACCUCUACUCAUGCACGGAAGCGGGGCUGCUGUGCUGCGCGCAGUGCGACCUCUCUUUUUUUUUUUAAACUGCCUGGCCAAAACGACGUCGUUUUGGACCAGGCACUGCUUUUUAAAAAAAUAAAAAAUAAAAUAAAAAAAAUCUGGCCAUUCGUGGAUAAGGGUUUUUUUUUUUUUUAAACCUGGCCAUUCGUGGGCCAUUAUGGAUAAGCCAAUUUGAAUUAGGAUUUUAAAAAUUAAAAAAAAAAGAUAUAAAAAAAGGGGGAAACUACUGGGUCAUUCAUGGGCUUCUAAAGGGCUUAUAUAAUUCCUACAUAAUUGGGUUUUAAUUGGAACUUCUCUUUAUUCAAUUGGGUUUUGGGAAUUCCUUAUUUAAGUGGGAUUGAGAAUUCUCUUUAUGAAAAACCAAUUUAACAUCACCCAAAGUGUGUGUGCAUCACAAGAGUCUUGCGUUUUUUUUUUCUUCUUGAGUACGCCAAUACAAAGUAAAUUGGAUGCAUAUAUAUUUUUUCUUGAGCAAAUGCCAAUUUUGUUUUUUUUCUUUUUUUAAUAAAUACUUUUUUCUUAUUUAGCUCUCUCUGUAUUAGUAAGAUCAAUAGCAAACUCGAGGGGGAAUAGACUAUGUGACACGCUAUUUGAGGUAUUAGCUUUUCUUUUUUUCUUUUUUUUUUUGAGAUUUUAGUUUUUAAGAAUUGCACCUCCAUUGAAAAAUUUCUGGGUCCGCCGCUGGAUAUCAUAGAUAUCAUUGGAAACUCCACAUCCCUCUUAAGAUCAAGACCUUUCUCUAUUUCCCUCUUGUUUGUUUUCUCUCUUCUUCUUCGUCCUCUUUCUUUCCCUUUUCUAUUCUCUUUGUUUUGAAAGGGGUGGGUGGGUUUGGGAUAUUUGUUUUGGUUUAAAAAUAUUAUCUUUAAGAAUAUUAAAAAUCAGCUUCUUUAAAAAAUAUAAGUUUUUUUUUUUUGUUUUAAAUCUUUGAAUUGGGUUUCUUUGCAACAUUUAUUUAUUUUUAAGACAAAAUUCCUAAUUAAAUUUAAAUAUUACAACAAUUAUUUUGUAGUCCGACACAGCACCAAACGUAAGUCUUCACUAUUUUUACAAUCCAGCUUCUUAGUCCGACGUAUUACCAAACGUAGGUCAGUACUUAAUCCAGCUUGGGCCAAUCCGAACUAAUCCAAGACAGUCCCAGAAUUUAGUCCAAUCUAUGACAGUCUGCUGUAUCAAAUGACCCUUAAGUUCAUUAUUUAGUAUUAGCUUGUGGUAUAAGUGAAGUGAUCGAAAGAUGAACAUCAUUAUUUAGAUAGGGAAAUGGGUUUUGGGUAAGUUAACAUUCUCUAUUAUUAGAAUGUGAAUAAACUUUGCCUUGUUUUUUAUUUUUCGGAAAUUGUUUUUGGGUAAGUUAAUAUUGUCCAACACUGGAAGAGUAAUGGGAAUAAAUUUGCCUUUUUCUUUAUCCAUGGACAGUUGUUUUUGGGUAAGUUAAUUUUGUCUAUUAUCUUUUCUUUUCUUUUUUUUUUAAGGGCCUUUCUUAUUGAGAGAGGCUAUAGUAUACUAAACUCAUACACACUACACGAGUGCUAGGACUCGAAUCCAGGAAUUUUGUCUAUUACUUAAAGAGCAUAGCUUGACUCCUUAAAAUUGAGGAGGUGCUCCUCCUUAAAUUCAAUGGAGUUUGACACUUGUCAGCUUCAAGUAACAUUGACAAAGUUUCAACCAAAAAAAAUUUAACAAGUGUCAAAACCACAUUGGUUUAAGGAGGAGCUCCUCCUCAAUUUUAAGGAGCCAAGUUUUUCCUUACUUAAAUGUGAAUAAUGUGGAUAAACUUUGCCUUUUUUUCUAAAAAGUUUGGGGUAAGUUCAAAUCUUUACUUUAUAAUAUUUUGCCCAGUACAUUCGUAUACUACUUUGCCUUUCCGAGAGAGGGGGUGCGGUACGGGGGUUGGAGUAGAACUUUGCCGUGGCACAUUGUUGAUGUUUUGCUAUCUUCAUCCAAUCACGUUUCACUAUGUGAAAUUAUUAUCAUGCAUGGCAGAACGUGAUUAAUUGGAGAUAGCAAAACAGUGUUAUCCCAUGCAAUGACGGACGUACGUUGGGACAAGAAGGGUCGCACGACCCCUUGGGAUGUUCGAAAUCUAAUCGUGGACUCCACUGACGACCCCUUGGCCAGCAUCUGAGCGACCCCUAGUGUGCAAAUAAGGUGCUCAAUGAAAGUCCCUUAUGGGCAAGGACAGAUCCAAGAAUUCUAUCAGGGGUGGGCUAAUAUUUUCCUUGGCUUUUGGGACUCCAAGUAAAAAAUAAUAAUAUAAUAACAUUUAAAAUAUUUCAAAACCAGAAAGUAACAAAUAAAAUAAUAAAAUAACAUCUUUAAAAAAUAAUCUAAAACAAACCCUUUCUCCUUCUCCCAUAAAUACUAUGCAGCUAGAAGAAGCAUGCAAAUGCAAUUCAACAGAAGCAAUCCAAACUACAGGGGGACCAAACCAGCCACUAUUUAACCUCAAGCCUUAGAGUUUCAACUUCAAAAUCACCUUAAUUAGUUGAUACUUGUAAAAAUAUUUAAAAUAGAGCCAAAUAAGAAGAGGGGUUUACAGUUUAUUUUGGCAAAAAAGGAAAGGAGGUUUACGGCUAUUAGGGAACAUAUAGAGCAUGAAGAAAUUAUUAAAUUUUCAUGUUGGCAGACAUUCAAUAUUUCCCAUAUUUGUUUUGAUAUUAAUUUACUAUUACUACCAUGUUAUUUGUUCCAAAAGCAGUCAUAAAUGUGUUUUUUUAGUCAAAAGAGGUGAGCUAAUAUUAAACAAAAACAAUCACAGCUAAUAUUAAACAAAAAACAAUCACAGGCCAGGAGACAGAGAUUGUGGGCUAAUAUUUUUUGGAGUAGGAUUUGCUCAUAAAAUUUGCACUAAAUUUAGUAUUUUUAAAAUUUAACACUGUGCUAGAGCCCAGCCUAGCCUGUAUAUGGAUCUGUCCUUGCUUGUGGGUUUGUCUUGCGCUGCUCAGUGCUCUCUAACCUUCUUCCAGACGCAUUCUCGCUGCAGCACCACGACUUGAAUUUUUUUUGGGUUGCAGAGGCAGCGAAGAAGAUGAUUUUGGUGAUGUUGCCCUAGUUUAUGCCCAUUUUAGUUGAAACUCACCAUUUCACUAACUUGUAUAUUUUCUUAAAAAGUCUGACCCAAAUAUAUAUUAAUAAAACCCUUUUUAUCUUUUACCCCAGUGAUAUAUUUAACUAAUAUGUUAGUACAACACUAAUUUAUAAAAAUUAAUAAAUAUAUUAUUUUCAUUGCCAUAUAGGUGUUGUAUUCGUCUCUUAAUUUUUGAAGAUUUGAAUGAAAGUACUAUCUUUUUGCUUUUUGGUGUUUUUUUUUAUUUUUGUAAAACCCCUUAGCCUGAGAAUCCUAAAUCCUGCACGAAUACCAUGCAAAUUUUUCUCCCGAUAAUGUGAAGAAAAGCAAAGUAGGGCAUCUCAGAGAAAAGCAAUUUAAAUUGUACUUUUCUAUUCAUUGUUUGCAUUUAUAAAUACUACUUUUCUCCACUGUGGCAUGUUUUAGUUAGGCAUUUUAAUCUUCUUAAUAAAAAUUAGUUUUGUUUAGUUAUUUGUUCCUUUAUCAUUAGUUUAUGAUCUCGAAAUUUCAAGGUCGGCCCUUUGAGUUGGGUGCUCAUUGAAGAAUUUGAAAUUAAUUCGUCCAACACAAACCCUAAUUAAGGCAGAAUCACUUUUUUACCUCUAAAAUUAUUGGGGUUGUCGUCUUUUUUGUUGAUCUCUGAAUUGAAAUAAUGUUGCAUGUAGGAAUAUUUCGUAAAAACUAGAGCGGCUAUAUUCUCAUCCUCCAUACGACAUGUAUAAAAGUUCUUCACAGCAUUAAAAUGAGUAUAUAGGAUGGCAUUAGAUGUAAAUUACAUUCCACUUGUUUCAUUUACUAAAGAAUACCACGUAUGUAGAGGGCGGAAAAGAUUCACAUUUCUCUCCAAAAUUUGUUUAAAGUAAUGACCCAACAGAUUUCUGGUCCUGCAAGAUAGGGAAGCCUCACAACUGCAACAAAUAAAAACAUUCGCCACCUGAAAAAAAAAAACGAUUAAUAUUUGACAAUGGCUAAAAAAACAAAAUAAGCGGUACGACCCUAUCAGUAUAUAUUUCUUAUCUAAUGCUUAAAAACUUGUGUCAUAAUUUGAGUAAAAAAGAUGGUACCACCCGCUAUACCUCUGCAACAUGAUGAACAAGCUGAAGAAGAAUUUGAACUUUUAGAUUGACUUCUGUGUGAGUAUUACACGUAUAUUCCCAACCCUAACUCUUUUGGAUUUGUUUCCACCAUCCAUGAUGGCCUGUUUGCGGACCAAUAAAAUAUUAAGAAAGAAAUGGAAUAGUCAAUACAAACAAUAAUAUUAUGUCUCUAUAAGAAAGAGAAUAAGGGACCAGAAAUUUUACUUGUUCAUUACAAAAUUGAAUGUUCCUUGUGCAGCACGUUUGAGAAGGAGUUCUCUUGCCUCGAUUGCAAUGCCUUCAGUCUAUACACAGAGAAUUUGAUAAGAGGCUUAUUGCAUCAAUGGGCAGCUUUUAGGGUUCUAAACUACGUACUCAGUCCUUGUACAUACCUCCUCUGGAAACCAAACCCCAGGCUUUGUGCUUCCCUCAAGAAUUGCCAAAACAAAUGCAGCUGUUGCAUUUCCAACUGAUCUGCAACACAAAUUCUAUUUCAGUCACAACUCAUUCAAAUCCUCCAGUACGUACUUUCAUAUACAUAUGUCCGCACCACAAAUAUCACAUUUGAUAUCAACCUUGUAACAUUCUACAGACAUUAAAAAGAAAAGGGAAUCGGGGUGUCCGUGAUUGAUUUUGGAAGGAAAAAUAAACAAAUAGACCUCUGGAUAACUUAAAACUUACACGGAGAGUCUCUUGUGACUGAAUAUGCCAACUGUAUUGCGCCCGUCAGAGCACUCCAAAUCAACCUGCCACCCCACCAAAAAGAAAAAGAAUGAAGUGAAGUGAAUUGCGAUGACAAAGAUGGUGUGAAUUAUUAUUCUUUCCCUUGUGUACUAGUAAAAAAGUUGAAGAAGAAGUUGAAAUAACUGAAGACUUGUUUAUAUCCUCACCCUCAUUGAUACACGCUCUCCAGCAAUACUAUCAACUCGUCGGACUACGGGGUCAAACAGGUCAACCAUCUGUUGGACUUUGCUUCUGUCUCUCAACAGCUCCUGAAAAGUUUAUUCUAAAUUACUUAGGCUUAUCAUACGAGCUAACAGUUAGUUAUUCAAAAUUAAUGUGGGGUCAUUUUGGUGAGAAUUUGUUUCUUAAUCCUCACUAAUCCCUUUGAAAUGCAGAAUAUUGGCAAUAGUCAAUCAAAUCUCAUCUCAUUUCUUAUAAUAAGGGUGAAAAUCUAAAUGCUAAGCCUAGAAUUACAAAUCUAGAUUAUCAGAGGGGAUGCAUGAAAUCCAAAAUGUCAUAGCGUACUGCUGGAAGAAGACUAGUCAUGGCUGCCAUUCCCCAAUUCCAAAAGAAGGGUGAAGUUCCAAAUCGAGCACUGACAGUAGGUACUCCUAGGACCUCAUGAGUACUUCUUACCUCUGGCAAAUUCCUGAAAAUAAGAUUAGGUUUAGUACAACCCUUGUAUUAUUGGAACCAAAGCAGUUUCAUACUUUAUUAACUGAGCGGAUAGACAGAAACCAACUGGUUCAUCUAAACGGAAUUCAUUAAGCUUCAAAAGAAGGAAAAUAAGUCCCGAUCGGACUUUUGGGAGUUGAUUAAAGGAUGCAAAAGCAUCUCAAGGACAAACUACUAUGCAAUCUAAGAGUUAUUCUGCAAUCUAUCAAGUACUGCAUGGCCAGUAACCCCUCGUGGACAUAAUUGACAAACUCAACCUAACUAUGAGAGAACUUCUUGAGAAGAUUGACCCAUGAGACCAUUAUGGUACAUAAAACUUAUAUUUGUCUCCCCUUCUUGCAAGGACCAGAAAAUAAAAUUGAAACAAAACUUCGGAUGAAACUUCUUCAAUCGUGUUAAUUAUCUUUAGUGCAAUAACAGUAUAGGGUUGUCAAACAUGGUGACUGAAAUAUUACAAUGUCAACAAGAAAGAACAUAACUAGAAAACAAAUUAGAAAUGAUACCAAAAUAUUUGAUUGACAAGUUUCUAAUGGGGUUUCCUUGCCCUUUCAGAAAAAGUGGAUGGGGGGAAUUGCAUGAGACUUGUUGGGAACUUGGCAUCAUCUACAUAAUGACCCAAUUGGUGAAAGCCAUAAUGGUAUUACAGGUUUGAUUUGUAUAUAAUUUAUUGAUCAUAUGACUUGGUGACUUCAAACUCAUGCAUAAAAUUGUAGAUUACAGAACUUACAACAGAUAAACAUCUUUCUUUCCAAUUCCUUUUCCAAAGUCAAUCGUCAGCAUUCCACUAUAUGGCUUUAGUUUGAUCUUUUCUCCUGGUUGAGUAGCCCAUUAUUGGUGUUAGGCAUGAUAUACGGAAUUCAGGAGUCAUCAAACACAAUAGAAAAGGUGAAGAAGAUAUUGUACCUUUAUUAAAUGCAACAACCUCCUCUCCGAGAAGCAAAAAACUAGUGGCUAAGAUAGUUGGACCAGCCCCGCCAGUUCCCGCUGUGUAGUAGUAGAAUCUGAUGAGAAGAUAUUUGCACAUAUUUGUUAGGCAUAGAAUUCAUGAUGACCCCAUAGAGAAAAAGCACAAAAAUUCCAUGUUAUAUGUGACUAUGCAUAAGAUUAAAUAUGUUAUCUCAAUCAAGAAGCAUUUCGAAAUAUCCCAAACAUCCAAUUUCAAGUUUGCACAAAUUUGAAUAACAAUAAAAAGACAUGGAAUGCGACUGGGGAAGACAUUGACCACAGAGCGUGAGAAGUGUGGCCAAAAAACGGUUUAUUUCGAAUUAAUAUGAAAGAUAUUUUUAGUAGAAGACACCGUUCAAUGACAAAGAAUCUCAACCAGAAGAAAAGUCCAAUUUGAUGCCAACUGAUUGGAGAUAUACUGUAAAUGUAAGUUUAAAACAAUAAAAAUUAAACAAUUCUUGGACUUAAAAUAGGUAAUGGGAAUUGCUACCUUAGCCUUUCUGGUUUGCCUUUGCUUUCACUUCUUGCCGCACGAACUAGUUCUGCAGCCCAUCACUGUCAUUAUAACAGUAGGAGUCAGUAUCUAGGAGACAAAGGAAUAGUAGAUAUGACCCCUUUUCACUUUCACACAAGAAUACUAUCUGACGACACCUCUAAUUUAUGAGUACUCCUAUGAUCUUCCAUUGGUGUGUUUACAAAAAAUUUGGUAUGUUAAAUGUGGAAUAAAACCUUAGGCAUCAUGUAUUCUUGUCCUCGAGAUAAUCCAAACCUCACAUAGACAAACCCAAAAGUUAGGUUAUUACAUUAGGAGGUUUAGUUGUUAAAUUAUACAUGUAAGGUGCAACUCAUCUGAAUUCAAAAAACCCGCUACUUGGAGCAUCUCAGCCCAGGCUUUUUAGGUCUAUCUAGAUCCAGAGAGUAAUAAAUCUCAGCUACGGACCCAAAUAAAAAGGAGCUUGGUACUUGAGAUUGUUAUUCACUUGCAUUUUACUUCAAAGAAAUAUAUCUUUGAAAUAUUAUCUGGGACAAACAACUCCUUUUGUUUCAUUUUAAACACAGUUCAAAUAUAUGCACAAGCAAGUGUACCAAACUUUGUGGACUACAGAACAAAAUGUGCUGAUGAUACACCAUUGCUCACUCCGGGAUAAAUUCCACCAGUUGUUAUUGCUGGAACAUUUGCAGCUAGCGCUCUACUGUUGAAAGAUUUUGCACGCAGUGAGUAGGCUGUAUCAUCACAAACAUCAACAUAGGCUGUCUGUGGAGAGAAGAAACACAUUACCAAAGUCAUACAUUUUAUAGUAAAGUUGAGAUAUAUUUUCCAACAUAAACAUGCACGCACACAAACAAAACAAACAUAUGUCACUUAUAAUUAAAAACACACACUAUUUUUCUUUUCUUGUGGGGGAGGGGGACAAUCUGUGGCCAUAGUAACAUUCCUCACCUUUGUCUGUAAGGCAGCUUCCAAUACAGUACACUUCUCUGCUUGUUGGAACGGCCCUGCAGCAUGAACUACGAGAUCCACAUCUGCAGAGAGAAGUCGCUUAAAAACAAAUUUGAUAAUCAGUGUUAUGAAACUAAGACCACAAAAUACUACAUGGACCUAAAUUAUGAUCUCUAUUAUAUGCAGUGUUCUCAAAAAUGUGAUAUUGUAACAGAAAUAUAUGAAAUCCCAGACACAAGGGCAUAGCUGUUCAGUAAAUAUUGGUUAAGUGAAAAGCAUAGAAUAGAAUAUGGAAAACUCUAGAGAUAAAUGAUGUUUCUCUUUGUCCCAACAUUUCUUUUUCUUUUGGUCGCUUGUCCCAACAUUCAUGCUUAAUGCUUUCAUAGUUCUCAAACCAAAAAGCAGAACAACAUAACAAAAAAAGUUACAUAGGUCAAGCAUAAAUAGGUAAGAAAUUACAUAUUUUGCCCCUUUAUUCUUUUUUCUUUAACCUAGGUGCAGAGAUAGGUGCUUGUGAUACAUGGACUACAGAAGACUACCCAAAUUUUGCAAACGAAGUUGGAUUCAGUUAUUCUUAAAUUAUAAAGAGCCAAAUUUCAUUGGUACCUUGGUUCAUACCAGGAGUAAAAAGAAGACAAUAAAAUUCUAAAGAAAUACUUAGAGUUACUCAAAAUGAGAAUUUAUACACCUUUCUUAUGGUUAAUAUUCCCUAAAUAAUGGGUAAAGAAUCAGCCAAGUACAAUACUAAUACUUAUGUGGUGAAACCAUUCAAACCCCAGUAUGGGAAGCCAACUGAAAUUAAAUCAUGGUACCAUGGAAAAAAAAAACUUAGAAGAAUCAUUCACCUUUCAGAGCUGCUUCCAAUGAUUUUACAUUGUCAAUAUUUACUUCAGAGAACUCUGAGUUUCCCCCAAGUGUAGCCACCAUAUUAGCUCCUUUUUCCCUGCGAUGGAAUCAUAAUUCCAGAAAUGUAGCAUCUCAAAUUGCCAGCAUUCGUAAUCAGAUAUGACCAACGAGAUGUGAAAAAGUAACACAUUUUCAAGAGCGUAUUUUACCAGAAGAUUAAUAUUGUUUUAACUUUAUGUCAUCUAGCAAUUGAUAACUGAUAUUUACUUCUUGUGGACCACUAGAAUUAGACAUGCUCGGGUUCUUGACAAUUGACUAAAAGUUGUUAGUCCAAUCUGGUCUAGAUGAGGCAAUGUGGGACAGGCAAAGAAGCCCUAUUAUUCUUUGAGCAAUUAUUAACGUUGCGCAGUGGAUUUUAGCGAGGUGCGAUGGAUGGCAGAUAAAAAUGGCCAUUCUCAGAGAUCUUUCUUGAAAUAUAAGCAAGUUGUAGAUACUUCCCUUAUCAAGUUAUCUAAUCUUUACAAACAAUAUCAAUCCAAGAUGAACUUCUUCCAAGGUGCUCUUAUUAUUAUCCUUGUCCUCUAUAUGCCAUUGUAUUUCUAGUUUUAUUUCUAGUUAUAUCAAAAACCAUAAAUUGUUACAACUAAAUAACUGAAUCCUACCAUCAUUGCCAUUACAUUGAUUUCAACAAUUCAAAAAUUCACCUAUUUUUACCAGCCAAUAGAUAACAUCUUCUCAGGGAGACAAAAAUACCAAGAACUUACAGGGCCAGUACCAUUACCUCAAAUUUAUAAAGAAAAAUACCUCAUACCCAACUGAAUAAGUCAUAAAACUAUACACACACACACACACACACACAUAUAUAUAUAUAUAUAUUGGGUCUUUGUUGUGGUGCAACUUAGAAAAUUCUAAAGCUAAUAUUUGUUUGCUUUAUGAGAAAAUGAGGGAAAAGAUGCUACAAGUUCCCAUCAACACGUUUUAUUACAAAUUUCUAUCCGGGAUUGGAAAAAAAUUCAAGUAGUUCUGCUAAAGAUGUUAAUUUUAAACCAUUACGUUUUGUCAAACAAUAAUCAUUUUAUUUCCUCCUCCAUGUUUUCUCGAAAACCAAACAAAUAUGAGACUGUAAUGAGAGAGAAAUGGGUUCUUUAUUGGGCAUAAUGGUAAAUUUGAUUACCUGUUUCGACCGCCAACGAGAAUUUGGAGGUCGGGGCAGAGCUUGGAGAGGGCAAUGGCAGUGGAACCUCCGACCCGACCCGUUCCGCCCAGAACCAGCACCCGCGAGUUUCGGGUCUUCUCAGGGAGCUGAACCCUGUUCCCAAUUUGGGCCUCUGCAGAACUACUACUAGGAGAAGAAGUGACCGCAGCAGUGGCAUUACAAAGGCUCACUCUGCUCUUCAAAUGCAUAUACACUGAAGAAGCUCCCGCCAUUAUUCUCUCUCUACUCUAUCACAACUCCCAAAACCCCCUUCACUCUGGCCUAUCCUAUCAGUUUUUAUCGUUGGCGAUGACGUGGCACUUUGUGUACCUAAUAAUCUUAAUUUGGUUUUUUCAUUGAUAUUUAAGUAGGUCUCUCCAUUUUAUUUCAUUGGAUUAGGUCUUCGGUUUGGUUCGACUCAUGUGAAUGGGAAUUCGAUGUUUUUUUUUUUGCACUAUUGUAGCGGUGUGAUUUUGUUGUAUGUGGAUUAUUUGUUAUAAAUCAUGGGUGGUAGAUAUGAGUUUUUAUUAUAAAUAACUAAAAUUUAUCCUCUGAAUCUAUAAGAGCACCUCCAGCGCUUGGGUUUAACUUGAGCAAAAGGCAGCCCCAGGCCCUAAAACCCCCUCCAUUGCGCAAGGUCUAGCUCGAGUAAGGGUUUGGUCCCACGAGCCCAGGCAAGUCCAAGUGCAAAUUCAGCCCGAGCUGUUGCCUGGGUAAAAUGACACAAUGCCGACGUUAUAAUGACAUUAGCAACCAAAAAACAUUGGAAAAAAAAAAACCAAAAAUUUCAGAUUUUUUUUAUAAAUACAUAGCCAUAUUCUUUACUUCACACACCAAAAACUCUAUACAAAUUCAUCUCCUCAUAUCUCAUGUGAAUAGUAAUUGCCCUUGCCUUUUGGGGUGGAAACAAAAAAGGCAAGGGUUGCCACUAUUCAUGUGAAUAGUGACAAACAUUGCCUUGCCCCUGCCCUUUGGAGUGGAAAUGCUCUAAAUGUCAGUUUUUAUAAAAACUUUCAAAUAUAGCAAAACUCUCACUUAAAUAGACUAAAAUGCCCUCAAAAUUAAAAUUCUCAUAAACCUAAAAGUCAAAACUCUUUCUUUUAAUUACCAAAAAAAUAAAAUUAAAAACUCUUUCUUCUUCGCAUUGGUUCAAAGAGGAGGGGAAUGUAGUUGAUUUUUUUUUUUCUCACCAGUAAAAAUUGAUUAUCUUUACAAACUUUUUGUUGGUCCGACUUCUCUUUACUAAUAAGAAUAUAUAAGUUGGGCAAGGAAGAAGCUUAGAAUGAUGAGCGGCGGAGAAGUUGUGCCUAGUGAUUAAUAGUGACUAUUUAACAACAGAACCAGACAAAAUCCGAAGUAUUAUAUUAAUAAGAAAACAAUCGACCAAAUUAAUUAGCUCUAGUGUUCUGUAUAUGAAGGAAAAUUUUGAGUAGCAGAAGUGUGGCAAGCUUAUGUUUUUUUUUUUUUUUUUUCUGCAGACAAAGUGUGGUGGGCUAUAUGAGAAAGUUUAAAGCUUAUGUUUGCUUGCCUAUAUGUUGGUUACUGCAGAAAGAGUCUGCAGCUGUUAGCAAUAUUAUCAUGUAUAUUCCAAUUCCUAGUUCCAAUCAUGUUAAAGAAAUGAAGAAGGAAAAACACAGAAAAGGAAGAACUGGUUUUGAUUUUUAGGUUUUUAUCUGGGUUUUAAAUUUAAGGGCAUUUAAGUUUUUUUUUUUUUAAAUUGCAUUUUUGCUAUUUUUGGAAGUUUUUUAUAAUAAAAAUUGACAUGUAUGAAUUUAAGGGGUAAAUUUUGGCUAUUUAUGAUAAAAACUCGGUAAACAUCUUUAUAUUGCAGAUGUGGGCUAUGCCAACUGGCCAAGACAAUGAACCCGCCCAUUUGUACCAAAGUUUGAAUCCCCCUCUUGUACAAAAGAUUAAUUUAGACUAUCACUUGUAUCAUCAAUUGAAGGGAAAUUGUACUGGGUGCUUACUUAUGUUGGCCUCCUUGUAGUAGCGUGACUUUGUUAUCAAUUGAUGGAAGAUUCUUCAAUAAGUAUUUUAUGUUAAGGAUUGGUUAUAUACUUCUAUGUAGGGCUGGAGCCUGACCCAAACUUUAGAGAAAAUUUCACUACCUCUAUAGCCCAGCCAAUUCUUAUAUAGGCCAGCCCAAUCAUAAAAGCUUGGAAAACUUUUGAUACUUAUAUAGGCCAGCCCAAAUCUUUACCCAAUCAGCUAUAUCCCCAACAAAUUCAAAAAUCUGGAACCAGCUGUGUGAGGCUACCCCGAAUUCUUCUUUUUUCUUUUAUUUUUAUUUUCUUUUUCUUUUUCUUUCUCUUCUUCUUGUACUCUUCUUUUUCUUUCUUUCUUUUCCUUUCUCUUCUCAACCUCCUCCUUGACUUUUGUUCUUCUAAUAAUUUAUUUCGAAGAUUGUUUUAAUGUAUAAUUGGGAAAGUAUGAUGUUCUUGAGAAUAUAGUUGAAGAUGUAGAAGUAAAUUAUACAAGUGUUUAAUAGAUUAAAUACAAUUUAUGAACUUAUCCUAAAGGGUCCUUACCUAUAUGUAAUCAAUCCUAAAUACUUAUGGGAGAAUGUCCUAUUAGUUAAUUAUUCAGUUGUACCUAUU
Molecule: long non-coding RNA, 42795 nt
Filed under: Prunus persica (peach)
Lineage: Eukaryota; Viridiplantae; Streptophyta; Magnoliopsida; Rosales; Rosaceae
Description: long non-coding RNA (PPER_LNC004492)
Source: RNAcentral